AAUUCACAGGAUUAUAUUAUAAUAUUCACACCAAAAGUCAAAUGCAGAGGAGUUGAAGAAACCUAGAAACCUACAGAAUACAGUCAAGGGACUGGAUCCUUGCACAAAUCCAGCUCAAGGCCUAGAGCCCAUAACAAUAUUUUGUGCAAGUCCAUACUGAGUAGGAGCCAAAGACCAUUUGUGGGAGUUAGAAAGCCUGUGUCAGUGGGGUGAAAGAUUAUGCUGUCCAGCUAAAGGAUCUGCACUGGAGCUGGAAAGCAAUGUUCAAGGUGAAGAUCAGAGCUCUCCUGACAAGAACAACAGCCAUUCUCAGCCACAGGGAGGACCGGCUCUCCUCCUCCGACAAGAGCAGCCAAGACCAGCCAUCUCAAGCUUUUCCAAGAAAAUCAACAGCAAAAUGAUCCUUUCCUGCAGGCCUGCUUUUAUGCUAUUGGCAACAUUCCUCAGAGAAGAUGAAUUGCUGACUGACACAGAGAGAUGAACAUAGCUUCUAUUCAUCUGAGAAAUAAGCCAAGUACUUAAAGACAGAGAAUUUUGGUUUGCAAAACAGAUUAAGCUUUUAACUAAAGAUCUACCAUGUGCACUCAAAACACCUAGGAUCUACAGUUAAAAACUUAGGCUCUACUGUCUACUGGCUUGCUGAAAAUAAGCAAUUGAUUGAACUCUCUUAGAUAUAAUUUGUUAUACCAUGAGAAUAAGAAUGUGCCCA
RNAcentral lists this long non-coding RNA (709 nucleotides) under Fukomys damarensis (Damara mole-rat). RNAcentral describes it as "lncRNA (ENSFDAG00000022559.1)". Lineage: Eukaryota; Metazoa; Chordata; Mammalia; Rodentia; Bathyergidae. The record is from RNAcentral.